This 672-nucleotide ribosomal RNA is filed under the name Listeria booriae. RNAcentral's name for it is "partial 23S ribosomal RNA". It matches the Rfam family "Bacterial large subunit ribosomal RNA", at positions 1089 to 1759 of the family's 2925-position model. The record is from RNAcentral. Lineage: Bacteria; Bacillati; Bacillota; Bacilli; Caryophanales; Listeriaceae.
ACAACCAGGAUGUUGGCUUAGAAGCAGCCACCAUUGAAAGAGUGCGUAAUAGCUCACUGGUCGAGUGACCCCGCGCCGAAAAUGUACCGGGGCUAAACAUAUUACCGAAACUGUGGAUGAACCUCUUCGGAGGUUCGUGGUAGGAGAGCGUUCUAAGGGCGGUGAAGUCAGACCGGAAGGACUGGUGGAGCGCUUAGAAGUGAGAAUGCCGGUAUGAGUAGCGAAAGAAGGGUGAGAAUCCCUUCCACCGAAUAUCUAAGGUUUCCUGAGGAAGGCUCGUCCGCUCAGGGUUAGUCGGGACCUAAGCUGAGGCCGAUAGGCGUAGGCGAUGGACAACAGGUAGAUAUUCCUGUACCAGUGCUAGUUGUUUGAGCAAUGGGGUGACACAGAAGGAUAGGGAAUCGCACAGAUGGAAACGUGCGUCCAAGCAGUGAGUGUGAGAAGUAGGCAAAUCCGCUUCUCGCGAAGCAUGAGCUGUGAUGGGGAAGGAAAUUAAGUACGGAAGUUCCUGAUUUCACGCUGUCAAGAAAAGCCUCUAGUUAGAUUAGUACUGCCCGUACCGCAAACCGACACAGGUAGAUGAGGAGAGAAUCCUAAGGUGAGCGAGAGAACUCUCGUUAAGGAACUCGGCAAAAUGACCCCGUAACUUCGGGAGAAGGGGUGCUCUAUUAG